UAACUGCUGGCAGUAACCGAGCUUAAAGGGAUACUCCACCCAAAAAAUUAAAAAAGUCUGUAAUCAUACACACACUCUCAUGCUGUCCCAGAUGUAUAUGACUUUCUUUAUUCUGUGUAACUUAAACAGAGAUUUUCAGAGAAAUAAUUAAUCUGUGUAUCUAUAUAUUGCCAGUGGAUGGGUCUCUUAAAGUUUUAAAAACCAUAAAGAAAGAAAGUCAUCUGGGACAGCAACAGGGUGAGUAAAUGAUAAGGUACAUUUUUUUUUUUUUCAUUUUUGGGUGAAGUAUCCCUUUAAUCCAGCAAUGGCUUACUAAAUGGACUAAUGGUAACGUGUCUCCUAACAGUGCUCUGCACACACAGCAGUGUAAGUCAGUGAGAGGAUUUUUACAGAGCUGAUCUGGUCCAUUGAGAGAAGUCGCUCUAAGAUGACACAGUUAAUAAGAAAUCAAGAAAAGGCUGCAGUGAGUCAGGCUGAAGAAUUCUUAAAGCAUCUAGAGAAGAAGAUUGCUGAUCUGAGAAGGAAAGAAACUGAGCUAGAGAAGCUUUCAAAUGCUGAGGACAUCUGCUUCCUCCAGAUUGCAGCAACUUUACUCUGGAUCCAAACACAGUCACUAAAAACCUUUGUCUGUCUGAGGCGAAACAGAAUGGCUAUUCACAUGAAUAUAUUCCAGAAGUGUCCUGAUCAUCCAGACAGAUUUGAUUAUUCGGAGCAGGUGUUGUGUAGAGAGAGAGUGUGUGAACAACUCCAGGGAAGUUGAGUGGAUCAGGAGUAUGGGUAUAUCAGUAGCAUAUAAGAGCAUUACCAGGAAAGGAGCAGGUAAUGCAUGUUUGUUUGGAUGUAAUGACCAGUCCUGGAAACUGUCCUGUAAUCCCUGGAGUUGUUCAUUUUCACAAUAACAGAGAGAUAAAACUGCCUCUAGAGUCCAGCUCAUGUAUGGGAGUGUAUGUCCUGGGUUCAGGGUUAUUGAGGAAUCAUCAGUGAAACUCCGUGAUCUGUAAAUAUUAAGAUUGUGAAAGUCAGGUUAAAGGGAUAGUUCACCCAAAAAUUUAAAUUUUAUGUUUAUCUGCUUACCCCCAGGGCAUCCAAGAUGUAGGUGACUUUGCUUCUUCAUUAUAACACAAAUUAAGAUUUUUAACUCCAACCAUUGCAGACUCUCAGUCAUAUAAUGCAUGGCAAUGGUAACAAAAUCUAUGAGAGUAAAAAAAACAUGCACAGACAAAUCCAAAUUAAACCCUGUGGCUCGUGACGAUACAUUAAUGUGUAAAGACACAAAACGAUCAGUCUGUGCAAGAAACUGAACAGUAUUUCUAUUGUUUUUUACCUCUGAUUCACGCAAUGUCCAAACUCUUAGAACUCUUGUGAAUGCACAUUCACAGCAGCAGGUGCCUGAGGCGUCUUCUUCUUCUUCUUCUUGCUUUAUGGUGGAUCACAGACUUAUAAGUGCAUUACUGCCAUCUAUCUCUCAAGUGGACCAUUGACACUACUAAUUGAGAUUGUACAUAGAGUGUAUAUGGUCCAUAUGAGAGAUAGGUGGCUCUCAUAGUAUAUCAAGGCAGAAAUCAUUAGCCAGAACAUUAAAUAUUUGAUCAAAUAAAGUACAUCACAACCUUGAGGAAACA
Molecule: long non-coding RNA, 1622 nt
Organism: Cyprinus carpio (common carp)
Lineage: Eukaryota; Metazoa; Chordata; Actinopteri; Cypriniformes; Cyprinidae
Source: Ensembl